GAUCUUCUUGAUGAUCAAUUAGUUGAUCACCUUAAAUGUUUUAGUUUUCCUAUUAGAGAUAGAAGAUACAUAAUCUAGAAAACUUCACCACUUAUCUGUUGAUUGAUUUCAUUGGAAGUGCAAUUGUCAAUAAUCGUUAUGUAGAAUUUAUCUUGAUAGAGGACUGGAAUAGAUGAUUGUACACACGUUUCAACUUCAUCUGCAACAUCAAAAAAAGAGAGUUUCCAGCUGAGUAGGACAACUAAAGGGAUCUUGUUCAUGUUCAUCUUGUUUGUAUACCAGUCGCUUUUGACAGCGCUGAAUCGUUGUAAGUAGUUUAUUUAGUUUAUUUUUUAUUUUACGAAAUAUCAUAUUCCAUGGUUGUGUUAUAGCUAAGACUACAGGUCCUAUGCAAAAUAUAUGAUAGGCAACUACGUGUACAUAUUUAAGUUCUUGGGAAUCCUUGUUUCGUUCCUUUUGAAUGUUCCUUUUGAAUAAUUCUCUACACGUGUGACCAUUACAAAAUUGCGAUCUUGGCCUUAUUUCAUUCAGGUUUUUUUGUGUA
Molecule: long non-coding RNA, 544 nt
Organism: Populus trichocarpa (black cottonwood)
Lineage: Eukaryota; Viridiplantae; Streptophyta; Magnoliopsida; Malpighiales; Salicaceae
Exons: 2
Source: RefSeq, a predicted model, not a curated record